RNA transcript from Phragmites australis (common reed), 3369 nucleotides. It is a transcript of the gene named probable ADP-ribosylation factor GTPase-activating protein AGD8, with no coding region annotated. Lineage: Eukaryota; Viridiplantae; Streptophyta; Magnoliopsida; Poales; Poaceae. The record is from RefSeq and is a predicted model, not a curated record. The transcript is spliced from 10 exons.
UCCACCACCACCGUCUCCUCCUCCUCCUCCUCGCCUCCACCCCUUCCCUUCCAUCCCCUCCCACCCGGCCACCUCCCGAUCGAUCCACCUGGGGUCAGGAGUUUCCAGCCCGGAGCGGCUCCGUUCGAUUCGAUCACGCUGCUAGGUUUGUUUGGUCUGCCGCGAUGGCGACGGAGGCCUUCGCCGACAAGAACGCCGUCUUCCGCAAGCUCCGCGCCAAAUCGGAUAACAAGAUGUGCUUCGAUUGCAACGCCAAGAACCCGACGUGGGCGUCCGUCACCUACGGCGUAUUCCUCUGCAUCGACUGCUCCGCAGUGCACCGCAGCCUCGGCGUCCACGUCUCCUUCGUCAGGUCAACAAAUUUGGAUUCAUGGACUCAAGAGCAGUUGAAAAUGAUGGUUUAUGGAGGAAACAAUCGUGCACAAGCAUUCUUUAAGCAGCAUGGUUGGACGGAUGGUGGAAAAAUUGAAGCAAAGUAUACUUCAAGAGCUGCUGACUUGUACCGGCAGUUGCUUGCCAAAGAGGUUGCUAAAAGCUCCAUAGAAGAUGGCAACAAUAGUUGGCCAUCCUCCCCAGUUGCAGCUUCGCAGGCUUCAAAUCAAGCUGUUGCGUUUCCAGAUCUCAAGCUGACAGAGGCAUUAAAAGAAAAUGUAAAUGAGAAGAAUGAGUCUGAGAUUGUUCGUUCACCUAGAGCCCCAACACAUUCUUUCAAGAAGCCGAUUGGUGGUGCAAAGAAGCCUGGGAAUAAGACUGGUGGACUUGGUGCACGGAAGCUUACAUCAAAGCCAAGUGAAAGCCUCUAUGAACAGAAGCCCGAAGAACCAGCUCCUGUCCUGCUACCGGUGACUGAGAGUACUACAGCUAGGAGCAAAUCUCAUACUUCCCGAUUUGAAUAUGUAGAAAAUGCACCUUCAGCUGGGAUCAGUUCGGAAGAUAACCAGAUGAUAGGACAUGUUGCACCCCCAAAGUCUUCAAACUUCUUUGCUGAAUUUGGGAUGGACAAUGUAUAUCACAAAAAAUCUACGUCCAGUUCAUCCAAAGUGCAGGUUGAGGAAAGUAGUGAAGCAAGACAGAAGUUCUCAAAUGCGAAGUCUAUUUCAUCUUCUCAGUUUUUCAGUGAUCAGGCCAGUUUCGAAAAGGAGGCUCAAGUCUCCCUCCAAAAGUUUUCUGGCUCCUCUGCCAUAUCAAGUGCUGACCUAUUUGGCCAUCAGACGAAUAAUUCUAAUGUUGAUCUCGGUGCUUCAGAUUUGAUUAACCGAAUUUCAUUCCAGGCAACUCAGGAUCUGUCUUCUCUCAAGAACAUGGCUGGGGAAACUGGGAAGAAGUUGACUUCUUUGGCGUCCAACAUCAUCACUGAUCUUCAGGAUCGGAUCCUCUGAGUUUAGUUAAUAGUGAAGUCUCCUUUACGUUUCUUCAGUGGCUGGCUUCUCCCAUCAAGUGGGUGACAAACUGGCCUGCCCGGCAGAUCUGUCUAGGAGCUCGUAGCAUCUAAAAACUUGAAGUGAGACUUAGAGAAAAAGGAGAAAAAAGAAAACUUAUCGUGAAUGCUGCACUGGCUUGGCAUCUGGAGCUGUAACAGAAAUGUUUUUGCCCGUGAUUUUAUUUCUGUUUCAGAGAGGGAACUCAGAUGGUAUAUGCCUGCAUGGGUCUCAAGUAAAAGCGGGGAUGCGUUAUAUUUUCUGAAAUCGCGACAAACUACAUCUUGAUAGAACUCCGCUGGUAGUCACUGAGUCACGACCUUUUUGGUUCAUCUAUCUGUCUUAUAUCGAAUGACUAUACUGCUCCGUUACACGGUUCUGCAGCAAAGGAGAGGAGAGGGAGCUGCAGCGGCGAUUGCCGUCGUCACCUUCGCCUCUUCUUCCAUUUUCCUGCAACAGCCCAUGCUCUCCUCUUCCGCUGACCACCACCAUCCUGGAAAUGAAGAGAUCGAGAGAGAACUACGGAAGGCUAUGGAGUUGAUGAAGAUCGCUCCUGAUGAAAAUGAGCAGUGAAGCAUGUCCUUGGUAUGGACCUGCAGCAUGCGCUGGCUACAGUGGAAUACUGAUAACACUCACUUCCUAAUGAUUAUGCUUCAUUAGGCACCAAAAAAGUAUCAGUUAGGAAGUAGCACUACACCCGUUCUGUCGGGUAUCUGAUGAAAUGUUAGAACUGUGGAAAUCUGUAGGUUGAAAUGCAUUUUCUUCACCUUUGAUUCUGGGGCAGAACGUGAUAGAUAUAUGCUGCGUUAGGACAUGGAAAUCUCCUCGGUUCUUUUUGGAUGGAUUUGUACUAACUGAGAUGGCCGUGUUUUCACGCUGGAGUAAUAUUAUUAGCUGUUGGUGGUAUCAGCUUCUGAGUUGAUCUUGGACCCAAUCAACUGAAGCAAAAGCUGAAAGACGGAGCGUGUGAUGUAGCAGCAGCAGGAUGCAGGAGCAGCUGGUGGUGGUAUCUCUUUUUGGUAGUGUAAGCUUCCGUGCUGAGUUGAUCUUGGAAUCCAAAUCUUAACUGCAUCCUAUCCGAUUCCGAAAGGAGGAGGCAAUUAUUGGUGGGCCAUUAUAAAGGCAAAUGGUUUAGCUUGCAUCUUCCACGAAAAUCCAUGGCUGUUUCGCCCAGAAUGAUGAGGUUAGAGAAGCUAGCUGCGGUAGGCUCCACUCACUGCUGCAUUCUUCUUCUGCGAAAUAGAAACUCUCAUGUCUCAUUCUGCUUCUGCUGUUGCUGCACGGGCUAAUAAAGUUUGUCUGUGCCUCGCCAUUUCUGCACCCCAGAAGAUAGUUAGUCCAUGACAAAUUGCCAUUGAUCCCAAGUGCAUAAAAAGCAAUCUGCACCUUCUCUAACCACAUGCACUUCCCGAGUUGCUGCAUAGGCUAAUACGUAUGUCUGUGCCUCUCCAUUUGUACCAUGCCUGACUGGUUCGCUGAUUAUAGUUGAGCAGCUGACAUCUUUUUUCAUUCAUUUGUUAUUUUUCAGGAAGGCUAUGGGAUUAAUGAAAAUAUCUCCUGAUGCAGGUCAGCAGUCUGACUUGAGCGUGUGCUCGUUGCAGAAGAGUAGCGAUCAGCUGAAUAACUCUUGAUGAUUAUGCUUAGUUGAUUUGGGACCAAACAUUCUAGCCUAUUUACCAAGUAGUAGCAUUCUGUCGUCAGGUGUCUGAUGAAUUGUGUGAGGGCGAGGGAGAUUUUCUUUCUUUCUUUCUUUCUUUUUGCUCGCAGCAAGUCAAUUGACGUGGAAAUCUGGAAAAAAAGGAAGCGCGUUUCUUCAGCUUGGAGUCUAGGACAGGACAAAACCUGCGCUAAGACAUGGAAAUUUGUAUGAACUUAUUGGCAGGUCAUUGGAAAUUUCUGUGAACUUACAACUGCCAAAGCGUGCUUGGUGCCUGGCCGGUGCCAAAGAGUA